This 527-nucleotide ribosomal RNA is filed under the name uncultured archaeon. Its description in RNAcentral is "bacterial SSU rRNA". It matches the Rfam family "Archaeal small subunit ribosomal RNA", at positions 102 to 629 of the family's 1478-position model. The record is from RNAcentral.
GGAUAACCUACCCUUAGGACCGGGAUAACCCUGGGAAACUGGGGAUAAUACUGGAUAGGCAAUUUUUCCUGUAAUGGUUUUUUGUUUAAAUGUUUUUUCGCCUAAGGAUGGGUCUGCGGCCGAUUAGGUAGUUGGUUAGGUAAUGGCUUACCAAGCCGUUGAUCGGUACGGGUUGUGAGAGCAAGAGCCCGGAGAUGGAACCUGAGACAAGGUUCCAGGCCCUACGGGGUGCAGCAGGCGCGAAACCUCCGCAAUGUGAGAAAUCGCGACGGGGGGAUCCCAAGUGCCAUUCUUAACGGGAUGGCUUUUCAUUAGUGUAAAGAGCUUUUGGAAUAAGAGCUGGGCAAGACCGGUGCCAGCCGCCGCGGUAACACCGGCAGCUCUAGUGGUAGCAAUUUUUAUUGGGCCUAAAGCGUCCGUAGCCGGUUUAAUAAGUCUCUGGUGAAAUCCUGCAGCUUAACUGUGGGAAUUGCUGGAGAUACUAUUAGACUUGAGACCGGGAGAGGUUAGAGGUACUCCCAGGAUAG